AGUGAACGCUGGCGGUAGGCCUAACACAUGCAAGUCGAACGGCAGCACAGUAAGAGCUUGCUCUUACGGGUGGCGAGUGGCGGACGGGUGAGGAAUACAUCGUAAUCUACUUUUUCGUGGGGGAUAACGUAGGGAAACUUACGCUAAUACCGCAUACGACCUACGGGUGAAAGCAGGGGAUCUUCGGACCUUGCGCGAUUGAAUGAGCCGAUGUCGGAUUAGCUAGUUGGCGGGGUAAAGGCCCACCAAGGCGACGAUCCGUAGCUGGUGUGAGAGGAUGGUCGCCGACACUGGAGCUGGAACACGGUCCAGACUCCUACGGGAGGCAGCAGUGUGGAAUAUUGGACAAUGGGCGGAAGCAUUAUCCAGCCAUACCGCGUGGGUGAAGAAGGCCUUCGGGUUGUAAAGCCCUUUUGUUGGGAGAGAAAAGCAGCAGGUUAAUACCCCGCUGUUCUGACGGUACCCAAAGAAUAAGCACCGGCUAACUUCGUG
This 492-nucleotide ribosomal RNA is filed under the name uncultured bacterium. RNAcentral describes it as "partial 16S ribosomal RNA". It matches the Rfam family "Bacterial small subunit ribosomal RNA", at positions 29 to 507 of the family's 1533-position model. The record is from RNAcentral.